GGUGGCGUGACCGAGUGGUUAAGGUGACUGACUUGAAAUCAGUUGGGGAACUCCCGCGUAGGUUCAAAUCCUGCCGUCAUCG
This 82-nucleotide transfer RNA is filed under the name Amphiamblys sp. WSBS2006. It matches the Rfam family "tRNA". From Rfam's summary of the family: Transfer RNA (tRNA) molecules are approximately 80 nucleotides in length. Their secondary structure includes four short double-helical elements and three loops (D, anti-codon, and T loops). The record is from Rfam by way of RNAcentral. Lineage: Eukaryota; Fungi; Microsporidia; Amphiacanthidae.